RNAcentral lists this long non-coding RNA (301 nucleotides) under Ananas comosus (pineapple). Its description in RNAcentral is "long non-coding RNA (ACOM_LNC027827)". The record is from RNAcentral. Lineage: Eukaryota; Viridiplantae; Streptophyta; Magnoliopsida; Poales; Bromeliaceae.
AAUGGGACGGGUUUUUCACUCCAAUCACAAAAAUACAUACAUGCGGUACCAAGUCGUUGGUGCUAUUAAAUUUUUUGCCUUUGGAUGGAGGGAUGUGCGGUUAGAAUGGUAGUAGUCUCCUGGGAUUGAGUGGGUGGUCCGUUGAAUAAUAUAAUCUAACGGAUGAAAAUGGUUAAAAGAGUAUAUCUAACGACGAAAAAUUUGAUAGCACUAAAGUGUUUGGUGCUAUUAAUAACACAGUAGCUAGCCGAACUAAAUGAAUGGAUUAUGUAUUAUUAUUCUUUCCAAUUUAAUCAAUAUU